Molecule: long non-coding RNA, 954 nt
Filed under: Homo sapiens (human)
Lineage: Eukaryota; Metazoa; Chordata; Mammalia; Primates; Hominidae
Description: HSALNT0046728
Source: RNAcentral
CACGGCGACCCCCAUCUCCCCUCCCCGUGUCAUAAUAAAUCUCACGUUUUCUGCCGGCUGGAGGCUUGGAGCGGCAAAGGAACGGAUGAGUACAAAAAGUUGCUACCCUUGAAGUGUUACCUAUCACUAUCAACCACAGCUUGUUUAUUUGGAAAGAACUUAAGUGAACCGUCAAGAGAAAAACAAAUGCAUAUUCUUUCUACAAAUAGUAGCAUUUAGUAUCUUUCCUGACCACAUUUGCGAAAAGAGGGAAUAGAGACUUCUAUAAUUAAAGGGAAAAGGAAAAUGAAAGGAGCUGAAAAUAGUGAACUGUGUAGUCUGGAUGGCUGAAAUUUGAAAACACAUGAAAUUAUCAGGACUGCCAAACGGUGUUCCUGAGAAACCAUAUCACAGAUUGUGAAGAAAAUCAAUGCUAGAAGAGUCGGAACAGGCACCGUACUCUUACUCCUUUGAAGAAUCCCAGAAAUAGUUGUUGAGGUUUUUUUUUUCUGCUGAGAAAAAAAGAUAUAUUGGAAAUUAAGUCAUCAACAGUACCUUAAGCACCACUCUGUAGGUAAUUUUGGAUAGUGUCUUUUCUUUACAUUUUGAUAUAGGGAAGGAAUUAAUUCACAUCGACACAAACGAAGUAAUGGAUACCAUAUAACUUGUGUGAUACUGUAGCUUUUAUAAUGAAUUACUUCUUGAAAGUUUUUUUUCCUAUACAAUGUAUUAUUAAACAAUUGUAACGAUAGUCUCUUUUUGUUUAACUAUAGAAAAUGGUAGAUAGUGUGGUACAGCAAACAAGAUUAACAAAUUUUCGUUGGAGAGAAAUUAUUUGGGCUCAGGCUUGCAAUAACAUUAUGAUGAUUUUAAGAAAAAUUGCAGUUCCUGUGAGUUAUAUAUUGAUAAGGCAGAUUUUUAAACACUUAGUUGCUAAAAUUAGUUUUCCUAAAGUCGUAUUUGGGAAAGUCUGAG